GAUGAACGCUGGCGGCGUGCCUAAUACAUGCAAGUCGAGCGAACAGAUAAGGAGCUUUCUCCUUUUACGUUAGCGGCGGACGGGUGAGUAAAACGUUGAUAACCUACCUAUAAGACUGGGAUAACUUCGGGAAACCGGAGCUAAUACCGGAUAAAAUAUUGAACCGCAUGGGUUCAUAGUGAAAUGGGGCUUUGGUGUUACUUUUAAAUGUAUUCGCGCCGUAUUUGGUAGUUGGUAAGGUAACGGCUUUUCAAGGCAACGAUACGUAGACGACCUGAGAGGGUGAUCGGCCACACUGGAACUGAGACACGGUCCAGACUCCUACGGGAGGCAGCAGUAGGGAAUCUGCCGCAAUGGGCGAAAGCCUGACGGAGCAACGCCGCGUGAGUGAUGAAGGUCUUCGGAUCGUAAAACUCUGUUAUCAGGGAAGAACAAAUGUGUAAGUAACUGUGCACAUCUUGACGGUACCUGAUCAGAAAGCCACGGCUAACUACGUG
This 497-nucleotide ribosomal RNA is filed under the name uncultured bacterium. RNAcentral describes it as "partial 16S ribosomal RNA". It matches the Rfam family "Bacterial small subunit ribosomal RNA", at positions 28 to 507 of the family's 1533-position model. The record is from RNAcentral.